AUGCCGCUCGUCCUCCGCCCGCCGAACCACCCCGUCCCUGAUGCCUCACUCGGCGCCUUCCGCCACAGGGCCGCCGCGCUCGCCCCACCCUCGGCGCCGCACCUCCACCGCCACCUCCGCUGGCUCCUCGCCAACGCCCCCGCCUCGUGCACGAGCGGCCGGAGCACGCCGUCCACCCCGGGCACGCGGCGCUCGACGUCUUCGAUACGGUGCAGGACAUCAAGGACCCAGAGCACCCCUACUCGCUGGAGCAGAUGCGGUGUGUGCUCUCUCAGGAGUCCGUCUCCGUCUCCCAGUAGUCCGUCUCCGUCUCCAUAUUCGCCCGAGGUGUCUCCUCAUCAUCUACAGCAAAGGAUCCCCAUCGCCCGCCACCAGUCUGCAGCAGAGGAUCCCAACUCUGUUGGGCACAACACGAACACCCAAAACAGAUCAUCAGCAUACACAACCAGUGGAACUGCUACAAAGCACCAGAAGAAGGCGAAGCAAAGAGGGCAAGAUCACAACAGCUCUUCUCGGUGA
This 519-nucleotide ribosomal RNA is filed under the name Triticum aestivum (bread wheat). RNAcentral's name for it is "partial small subunit ribosomal RNA". Lineage: Eukaryota; Viridiplantae; Streptophyta; Magnoliopsida; Poales; Poaceae. The record is from RNAcentral.